GAUCUCCUCAUUUAUUAUAGCCCAUGCGUGCUUCUUUGUUCCUCGUGGGCAAACGUUGGGUUUCUGUGCUGCUUACCAAUAUGAUUGGAAAUCGAUGCUUCGUUGUGGGAUAUCCGUCGCACCCUUCUUUAGGGGUUGCGAUGAACGUCAUAGCACCUCCUAUGUUCCAGGCAUGAUGAUCCCUUGAUUGAUCAAAUGUUUUGGCACAUGGGUAGGUAGCUCGUGCUUUGGGAUGCAUAAAGUUGGAUUCGAUCGAGGGAAUUAAAGCCCCUCAGUUGCCUCAUAUAACGUCGACGUUAUAAACGAAUGAACGAACGACUUGCGAUUCUCGUUUCUGGAUCUCGAUAUGUUGGGAUGAUGAUCCUUCACAUGUCGGGUGAUGGGGCGGGGGUUGCGGUCGCGAAGGAAUGC
Molecule: unclassified non-coding RNA, 411 nt
Filed under: Dalechampia sp. Medeiros & Cardinal-McTeague 555
Lineage: Eukaryota; Viridiplantae; Streptophyta; Magnoliopsida; Malpighiales; Euphorbiaceae
Description: partial external transcribed spacer
Source: RNAcentral